This 403-nucleotide ribosomal RNA is filed under the name uncultured bacterium. Its description in RNAcentral is "bacterial SSU rRNA". It matches the Rfam family "Bacterial small subunit ribosomal RNA", at positions 28 to 423 of the family's 1533-position model. The record is from RNAcentral.
GACGAACGCUGGCGGCGUGCCUAAUACAUGCAAGUAGAACGCUGAAGGAGGAGCUUGCUCUUCUGGAUGAGUUGCGAACGGGUGAGUAACGCGUAGGUAACCUGCCUGGUAGCGGGGGAUAACUAUUGGAAACGAUAGCUAAUACCGCAUAAGAGUAGAUGUUGCAUGACAUUUGCUUAAAAGGUGCAAUUGCAUCACUACCAGAUGGACCUGCGUUGUAUUAGCUAGUUGGUGAGGUAACGGCUCACCAAGGCGACGAUACAUAGCCGACCUGAGAGGGUGAUCGGCCACACUGGGACUGAGACACGGCCCAGACUCCUACGGGAGGCAGCAGUAGGGAAUCUUCGGCAAUGGACGGAAGUCUGACCGAGCAACGCCGCGUGAGUGAAGAAGGUUUUCGGAU